CCCCCUCCUCUUUCUCCUCACCCAUGUCUCUUCCUCCAUGGCGCCUCCCUCCAUCUCCAUCCAUCUCUCCACCUCCUUUCCUUUCUCCUCAUUCUCCUCCUCCUUAUUCUCCUCCUCCAAGCCGCCCAUAAGUCACUCCCUUUAUGGUGGCCCCUCCACCUCCAUCCUUUUUCGCCAGCAACCCAUCUUCCCUCUCACCAUCCUCCUCAUUCUUUUCUUCUCUUUGUCUUCAUUUUCGUCCUCUAACCCAUUCG
Molecule: long non-coding RNA, 254 nt
Filed under: Elaeis guineensis (African oil palm)
Lineage: Eukaryota; Viridiplantae; Streptophyta; Magnoliopsida; Arecales; Arecaceae
Description: long non-coding RNA (EGUI_LNC045832)
Source: RNAcentral